Molecule: long non-coding RNA, 486 nt
Organism: Acipenser ruthenus (sterlet)
Lineage: Eukaryota; Metazoa; Chordata; Actinopteri; Acipenseriformes; Acipenseridae
Exons: 2
Source: RefSeq, a predicted model, not a curated record
AGAACUGCAACGACAGGAAGCCAGACACUUCAGUAUCAGAGCAACACAAGCACUAUAUCCAUACAUCUAUAAUAGAACAGCUCAUUUCAGGAGUAAAGCGUUUACUCACUCCUGCUCACCUGUGAUAAGCACAUCCUGGCUAUACCAAGCAUGUUCCAGGUUAUUAUAUUAUAAAGAGACUCGUGCAUUUAAUGAAGGGCAGAUCUCUUCUGAUUAAUCUUAUACCCACAAUUCUGCAUGACCACCAAGACUGGCACGCGUGUAAUCUACUAAAGGUGUCUGUGCCCCAUUAGUGCUGAGCAUGCCACUGCCCGGCCUGGAGCACCACCAAGAGUAAUGAAGCUACGAAUGCUGCCUCCUUCUCCUGCCUGUUUUCAGCACCGUCAGCUAAAGAACAAACCAGCGCUCCACUUUUUGUAUGUAUGUAAUCCCCUCACAGCUUCCUUUUACUUUUAAAUAAACCUUCUUUGUUUUUUUCACAUUUAA